CAGCCGCCGCGGGAAUACGUAGGUGGCAAGCGCUGUCCGGAAUUAUUGGGCGUAAAGGGCUCGCAGGCGGUUUCUUAAGUCUGAUGUGAAAGCCCCCGGCUCAACCGGGGAGGGUCAUUGGAAACUGGGAAACUUGAGUGCAGAAGAGGAGAGUGGAAUUCCACGUGUAGCGGUGAAAUGCGUAGAGAUGUGGAGGAACACCAGUGGCGAAGGCGACUCUCUGGUCUGUAACUGACGCUGAGGAGCGAAAGCGUGGGGAGCGAACAGGAUUAGAUACCCCCGUAGUCCCUGUCUCUUAUAA
RNAcentral lists this ribosomal RNA (301 nucleotides) under uncultured bacterium. Its description in RNAcentral is "partial 16S ribosomal RNA". It matches the Rfam family "Bacterial small subunit ribosomal RNA", at positions 509 to 809 of the family's 1533-position model. The record is from RNAcentral.